GUGUCUGAGUGGCUCUGCAUGAAGGACCGUUUUCUAGGUGAGAGGCACAUCUCAACACAGCUGACUGAUCAGACUCAGACACUGCUGCUGAAUCCAUGGAGAGAAAAAGGAUAAAUUUCCAGAACUAUGGUCCCUGUGCUCCAGUUCGCCAGGCGGGCGCGGCGGAGACGGAGACCGAGGAACGCGGCUGGGGCCAUGCGGCGCUACCGCGCGUGGUGGCGCUGUGUCUGGCCUGAGGCUUCUGCUCGCUCCUUUACGCCUUCAGCCAGCUCCCCAUGUCCCCGGAGGAAGGAGCGGGCGGUGGUGGCGGGAAGCUGCAGGCCGCAGUGGCUUCCUGGCUGGCGGGAGGCGGAUGCGGUGCGGUGAGAGGCGCGAGCAGUGCUUGUCCCGCUGCGCAUCCCCGCAGGUGGGACAGGUGUAGUCUGAAAAUACAGCCUGUUGAGAAAAUGCAUCUAGGUGAAAGACUUGAAAAAACUAUGACCAUGUUGAAGUCAGCUAUUAUUUUCAGGAUCAAACCUCUUCAAUUCCAGAUUUUUGCUGAAGAUCAACUCAUCAUAGCUUUAAAG
Molecule: long non-coding RNA, 566 nt
Filed under: Homo sapiens (human)
Lineage: Eukaryota; Metazoa; Chordata; Mammalia; Primates; Hominidae
Description: HSALNT0149427
Source: RNAcentral